AUAGUAUUCUGCCAGGAAUCCAGCUGACCGAAUUACCCACACUUGCCCACCUUAGGCCUUCAUUCGCAGCAGGCAUGUGUGCCUGGGUUUGUUACCAGCAGCCAUUUUCUCACCCUUAAAUGAGGGAUGGGUCUCCCCUUUUCUUUUUCUCAUUUUCCUAGAGGUUACAAGAUUCCUGUUUUUCUCACCAGGAGGAGAGGUCAGCCUCAGUGAGCUCAUAGCAGUCAUACAUUGCCAGUGUUUUUCCUCAAGUGGAAGGAGAAAGGCCUUCAGAAAAAAAAUCGUAUGCAAACCUAGUGCUACCACCAGCAGUAGCUCUGAAUCGAGAUUUUUGGGAGAAUUAGGCUUACUAAAGAUAAACUACAAUAAGUCUCAAGGAAGCAAAUAAUUCUGAUUCUAAUGAGGAAUCCAAGAAUAAAGGCAGCUCUUAAGGUACGGAAGUGAACUGUCUGUGGGUGACUUGCCUGGAUGCCGGCUAUAGCUGCAGCCCCCAAAGUCGAAGCUACCAGAACAGGUUGGAUGAGGAUGGCCCAAAGAUUAUGGAGUUGCUGGCCCCAAAGCAAGUCAGACACUAUGGGAAGUUUGCAUGAAUCAUGCCCUUGGAUAGACAACCUAAAUCAUACCUCAUCGAGCAUGGAUCCUGGUCAGCAUACCAAGUCAAGGCAAGUAAAGACUGAAGAAAUAUCACCUGGUCUGCAGCUCCCCCCAGAACGAAGUCUGCUACUGAUGGCAGAAGCAUAGAUAGACCAAGGGUAUCACUAUGUAAUGAUGGAAGAAGGAAAAACCCCAUGCAUUCACUCAUGUCUUGAAUCACCUAGAGAAGAGAGGGAAUCUGCCAAAGUGGACACAAUAGAAAUUCAGUUCUAAAUUUGGAGGAAAUGAGGCCCACUCUCAGAUAAGAUGAAAAGUAAAAGCCCUAGGAUCCAAUGGGGUAUUAAACAAAUAUUUAAAAGU
This 954-nucleotide long non-coding RNA is filed under the name Homo sapiens (human). Its description in RNAcentral is "HSALNT0381580". The record is from RNAcentral. Lineage: Eukaryota; Metazoa; Chordata; Mammalia; Primates; Hominidae.